Molecule: transfer RNA, 89 nt
Filed under: Rhodovulum sp. PH10
Lineage: Bacteria; Pseudomonadati; Pseudomonadota; Alphaproteobacteria; Rhodobacterales; Paracoccaceae
Rfam family: tRNA
About the family: Transfer RNA (tRNA) molecules are approximately 80 nucleotides in length.
Source: Rfam by way of RNAcentral
GGACGGGUGGCCGAGUGGUUGAAGGCAGCGGUCUUGAAAACCGCCAGGGGGCGCGAGCUCCCUCGUGGGUUCGAAUCCCACCCCGUCCG